GACGAACGCUGGCGGCGUGCCUAACACAUGCAAGUCGAGCGGAGUCGAUCGACGGAAGCCUUCGGGCGGAAGAUGGUUGACUUAGCGGCGGAUGGGUGAGUAACGCGUGGGCAACCUGCCUCGAAGACCGGGAUAACAGCCCGAAAGGGCUGCUAAUACCGGAUGUGGUCAAAGAUCCGCAUGGAUUUUUGAUUAAAGGGGAAACCCGUUUCGAGAUGGGCCCGCGUCCUAUCAGCUAGUUGGUGAGGUAAAAGCUCACCAAGGCGACGACGGGUAGCCGGCCUGAGAGGGUGACCGGCCACACUGGAACUGAGACACGGUCCAGACUCCUACGGGGGGCAGCAGUGGGGAAUCUUCCACAAUGGGCGAAAGCCUGAUGGAGCGACGCCGCGUGAGCGAAGAAGGCCUUCGGUUGUAAAGCUCUGUCUGGAGGGACGAAGGAAGUGACGGUACCUCCGGAGGAAGCCACGGCUAACUACGUGCCAGCAGCCGCGGUAAAGUACUCUAU
Molecule: ribosomal RNA, 508 nt
Filed under: uncultured bacterium
Lineage: Bacteria
Description: bacterial SSU rRNA
Rfam family: Bacterial small subunit ribosomal RNA
Source: RNAcentral